GACGAACGCUGGCGGCGUGCUUAACACAUGCAAGUCGAACGGGGUCCAAUCAUUCGCAAGAAUGAGGACGACCUAGUGGCGAACGGGUGCGUAACACAUGAGGAACCUACCCCAGUCUCUGGAAUAACAGGUGGAAACACUUGCUAAUACCGGAUGUCGUUGGAUCACCGCAUGGCGAUCCAACGAAAGAUUUAUCGGUCUGGGAGGGCCUCGUGGCCUAUCAGCUUGUUGGCGAGGUAACGGCUCACCAAGGCUUCGACGGGUAGCUGGUCUGAGAGGAUGAUCAGCCACACUGGGACUGAGACACGGCCCAGACUCCUACGGGUGGCUG
Molecule: ribosomal RNA, 331 nt
Filed under: uncultured Actinomycetes bacterium
Lineage: Bacteria; Bacillati; Actinomycetota; Actinomycetes
Description: bacterial SSU rRNA
Rfam family: Bacterial small subunit ribosomal RNA
Source: RNAcentral